AUGCACAUGGACAUAAAAUUAAGAAGUUUAGUCUUUUACCGGUAACUUUUAUUUUUUUCCUCUUCCUGAACAAAAUAAACAAGUGUUGUUGUCUGCUGGGGGAAGGAAGAAAAGUAAGGUGUCGUUCCAGGAUCCAGCCUACUACUUAAGAUAGUUUCUUUUAUCUUUUUCUUUUGUUUUAGCACAAUUGCUACAAGACCAGUACAAUCUAGGUAAUAAAGUCACUCUUGGAGUUUAGUAAAAAAAGGAUGAUUUUGCAACUCUUCUGGAAGUUGGCGUCUUUUUUGAUUCAGGUUCUGUAUUCUGUUUCAAGGUUCAAGCACGCACCAUUAUUGGUCCAGCUGCAAUAUUUCCGAGCCUUUUUCUAAUAAAGGUCUAUCACAAGUUUACCGCUUCUCACUCUCCAUGAAGCAAGUUCCCAUGUGACGAAACUUCUAUACUAGUGCUACCUUGGAUCCGUCACCUGAGUCAAACGGGAAAAGAUAGUGGGAGAGUCAGAAGAGGAUACUGAAUGGUGAUAAAUUGAUAAUGAAUGACUAAGUGUGAGAAUGAAGAUUAUUGUAUCAUGGUUGCGUAAUUCUUUAAGUUGUUGUGGAGGCAUAGAAGUGAUUUGUUAUUUUUGUGCCACCAAUCGAUAAGCAUUUUAGUUUUUUGUGCACUAAUCAUAGUGUCAUAAAAGGCCUUCUAUAGAAGAUGAGAAGACUCUGGUUGGACUUUGGAGACACAAGAUUUAAAAUGGUUUAGCAAGUUCCAUGUCGAUGCUUCUCUCCUGCUCAGUGGAUGGACGGAGGUGGAUGCAAGUUUAUACAAGUCGUGCUGUUUUGGUAAAUAGUUGCUAAAUGAGUUAAAAUCAGUUUAAAAUAAGGCAGUCACCUCGGUUUAUUUCCGUUUCGGAAGUGUUAACCAAGAUGGUUGAUAAGAUUUGGGUGGUUUUUGGGAGGCUUUGGGGUGGUGAGUCUGGUGACUGUUGGAGGCUCCCCUUUAUCAAUUUCUCUUUUGUUGUAUGCAGACUACAUAUCAGUUUUUGUUGUGCCAACAGCCAGCCCUUCCAAAUGGCUAUCUUCCGUGCGUCCUCCCAUCUUUUUUUAUUUUUUUUAUGCUGUCUCUGGUUUGAAAGUGAAUUUCAGGAAGUUGGUGUGAUGUUCUCAUUCUUGAUGACCCUGCGACUAUUUUGGAAUCCUUUGAUUUACUUUCAAGGCCCAGUAUGCUUGGAAUGGAAAAGUUCUAAAAGCGGUGGAAAAAUAACAUCAAUGUUCAUAAGGUUGUAGGUUUACAUUGACCACGAUUUUGCUUUCGAGCUUAUACACAAUCAUUCUCUCUUGCACAAAUGACUGUGGAGCUAUGAUUGGAUGCCUUUGGAAGUUAAUGUGUCUUUUGGAGUGACUCUGGAAUGGUCUUAGAAGGAGAUGCACGAGCUCCGGUGAUAUUUUGGUAGGUAAUUGUAUAAAGGUUCAGCUUUGGCGCCAUUUUUGGAGCAGAGGAGAGUUUGAUGCCAAAUUGCAAUGCAUCUAGAUUCUAGCCCUUGUGAGGAUUGCCAUUGAUAGAUGCCUAGUGGAAGGUUGAGAUGUGGAAGAUAUUUGCCUGGUACGACCUUUAUUAGGCGGGUUACAGUAACUCCUGUAUUACCCUUGCAAUAAAAGGCCAGGAAAAUGACGGUUCUUGAAAGGGUUGGUUCACCAGAUUGUGUUCAGAUGACUCUUAUUCAAACCCC
Rhododendron vialii is the source of this 1711-nucleotide long non-coding RNA. RefSeq lists it as uncharacterized. NCBI's taxonomy places the organism in Eukaryota, Viridiplantae, Streptophyta, Magnoliopsida, Ericales, Ericaceae. The transcript is spliced from 2 exons. The record is from RefSeq and is a predicted model, not a curated record.